UCCUCUUUAUUGCCCAUCUCAUAAUUAAGAGUACACAACUUUACAAGAACAAGCAUGAAGCAUGGAUGGGUGCAUAUAUGUGUUCGCUAGCACGCGACACUAAUUAUUUCAUUAAUUUAAUAAAUAAAUGAGUAAAGUAUAUGGCCGGUAUUUAAACUUGUGGCGUGUGGUACCACUUAGAUCCAUAAAAUUAGAAAAGGCACGUUUAGAUGCAUGAACUUGUUUUAGCGUCUAAAAUUAUGGACCUGAAUGCUAUAUUAAAAUGAGUUCAUGAAUCUGGAUUGUACAUUAAAACAAAUUCGUAGACCUGAAUAGUACAUUAAAACAAAUUUAUGGACCUAAACAUGCAUUUUCUAAGUUUAUGGACCUAAGUGGUAUCACGCCACAAGUUUAAAGACUGGUCAUGAAAUUUACUCUAAAUAAAUUAUCCAUAAUAUAACGGCGGUUAUUAUAAG
RNAcentral lists this long non-coding RNA (455 nucleotides) under Oryza brachyantha (malo sina). RNAcentral describes it as "long non-coding RNA (OBRA_LNC001947)". Lineage: Eukaryota; Viridiplantae; Streptophyta; Magnoliopsida; Poales; Poaceae. The record is from RNAcentral.